UAUUUCCUAAACUGCCCAUCUUUUCAUCAAUCUCUGGUUUUCUGACAUGAUUACAGUCUGGUAUUUUAGUCUUGUGUUCGACAACUGAAGGUGUUGCAUUGACGCUGAGAAUUGAAUCAGAAUGUUGGAUAUCAAAUUAUUCGUGUUUUGUCUGGUUGUUCUACUGCUUGUAUUGACGGGAACAGCAAUGGCCCCGCCACCCCCACCGCCGCCACCAAUGCACCACCAUCAAAACUUUUUUGAAAAUGAUCCGGAUUUGCUGGAAACUUGGUGAAUUUUGGACUGGGAGCUUAACUACGAUAUUUUCAUGCUGCAAGUGGAGCAUAUUUUAAUAAAGAACAUAAUGUAAUAAAGCAAGUUAUGUGCAAUGUGUUUCCAAUAUGAGGUUUAUGUGUUAAACGCGGUAGAGUCUGCGCAUAUUGCUAGGCGUCGGGAACAGUUUUAUCUUUGCGCCACUGAUCACACUUACGUGGGUUUGGUUGAAAUUCGUUUCGUGGCUGAGUUGAGUAUGUGCUAGAAGAUAUUGAAGCAAAAUAUUGAUCACUUGUCAAACGCAGUAACAUAUCCUGUUUGCCCCGAUUUGACAAGAUGAAAAGAGUUGGGUAUUUCCUUUAAACUAUCAAUCUUAUCUGCCCUGUUUCUUCUAUCAGUAAAUGUUAGAACCUGGUAAUAAUGAACGCAUUUUCGUCUCAACUAGACUGCGUUGACGCUGUGAACAGAAGCAGAACUCAAAGAAAAAAUGAUGAAUUCCAAACUAUUCGUGUUUUGUCUGAAAGUUAUGGUUAUCGCUUUGAUGGUGGUAGCAGUGGCUCCGCCUCCAAUGCACCAUUUUUACCACCACCAACAUACCUUUAUUUCAGUUAUUGAAGAUGGACCUGAUACCUUAGAAGUUAGGUGAAUUGCGAUCUGACACCUGAAAUACGAUAUUAUAUUUGGUGCAUGUUUAAGGUGAUAUAUAUACUGGAGAGGAUAUGUAAUAAAUGGAAGCUACGUGUCGUGUGUUUGAUUUUUGAAUAUUAUAUAUACUUAUACGAAUGAAUAUAAUAUAUUAUACUUCAGUACA
Molecule: non-coding RNA, 1063 nt
Organism: Styela clava
Lineage: Eukaryota; Metazoa; Chordata; Ascidiacea; Stolidobranchia; Styelidae
Source: RefSeq, a predicted model, not a curated record